UCGGGAAUUUUGGGCAAUGGGCGAAAGCCUGACCCAGCAACGCCGCGUGAAGGAUGAAGUAUUUCGGUAUGUAAACUUCGAAAGAAUAGGAAGAAUAAAUGACGGUACUAUUUAUAAGGUCCGGCUAACUACGUGCCAGCAGCCGCGGUAAUACGUAGGGACCAAGCGUUGUUCGGAUUUACUGGGCGUAAAGGGCGCGUAGGCGGCAAUUCAAGUCAUCUGUGAAAUCUCUGGGCUUAACCCAGAACGGCCAAGUGAUACUGUCGCGCUAGAGUGCAGAAGGGGCAAUCGGAAUUCUUGGUGUAGCGGUGAAAUGCGUAGAUAUCAAGAGGAACACCUGAGGUGAAGACGGGUUGCUGGGCUGACACUGACGCUGAGGCGCGAAAGCCAGGGGAGCAAACGGGAUUAGAUACCCGUGUAGUCCCUGAGCGGGCUGGCAAGGCGCAU
This 447-nucleotide ribosomal RNA is filed under the name uncultured bacterium. Its description in RNAcentral is "bacterial SSU rRNA". It matches the Rfam family "Bacterial small subunit ribosomal RNA", at positions 355 to 825 of the family's 1533-position model. The record is from RNAcentral.